GUGCUGCAUAAGUAUGUUUAAAAAAAAUCCAAAUACAUAAUGGUCCAACAUUAACAAUACAUAUUAGAACGUCUUUUGAGCCCGUAGCAAAACUUGCAUUUGGACGAGUAUUUAUCAUACCUGUCAAGGUGCAUCAGUCACGAGAAGGACUAGAUUUUAAGUGAUACAUUUGGACGACUGCUAAGUAUACAUGUACAGGAAC
Molecule: long non-coding RNA, 202 nt
Filed under: Mytilus galloprovincialis (Mediterranean mussel)
Lineage: Eukaryota; Metazoa; Mollusca; Bivalvia; Mytilida; Mytilidae
Source: RNAcentral